UGCCUUUUAGAAAGAAAAGGUAAGAAUAAUCAGAGUGAAGCGGAAAUAGAUGAGAAAAGAUUAAGAAAAGCUUAGUAAAGAAUCAGAGUAGCAAAGGUAAGUAAGUAAUGAUUGUCCAGUUCUAUCUAGGUUUCGUCCUACAGUCAACAUUCCUCUGAUACCACUUCUGUCACACCCGGAUUUUAGGGGUCCAAAACCCGAGCGCGAACAUAAACACCAGGUGUGCUGGGACCAAGUCUCACACAUAUGAUGCAUAGUGGCACAGGAUCGAAUGUCACAUCUUUACUAUAUAACAGGAGUUCUAUACAAAAUAAAUAAGUAAUUACAUUAUAAGGAGACAACGGUCCAGCAACCCAAAGUUGACUGGGAGACGACGGCCUAGAUCUCUCACGAACACAUCACAGCAUCCUCCAUGCGCCUCAUCCUGCGGUACCUGUUCUUGACCUGUGGGGGGUGUGAGACAGCAAGAGUGAGCUCACAUACGUUCAUCGCUCAACAAGUUGUGGGGAAUAAUGUGCAUGAACUCGCCAAAGGUGGGAGCUCACGUGAAGUGUAAGGCUUACCAAAGAGGAUGGUUAGAGCUGAGCAUUGCUUUUAAAGUUGGUCAAAAUUUUAUUAGCAAUUACUAAGUAAAAUACCAACCCAAUUAAGUAGUAGAACAAAAGUAACAUCAUCACCUGCGAAUCUACGAUGCAAUGCAUAUGACAAAUUGAAUUUAGUUCCAUAAAUUAAUCAUCAGAGAGUCCUGAGCUGCUCAUGACCGUGAGCUCGGCUAGUAUACCAGUUUUACACUCUGCAGAGGUGGUACCCUUUACCCACAAGUCAUGUUACCCAUCUGCCAAGGGAUCGCGACUUCCCAUACACCUCUACCGAGGAGGCGAGGCAGGGUAACACUACGAGGCCUUUACAAAGUUCCACUAGCUUCAGAAAACCCGCUACAGUUUAUAGGAAGCUCCAAUGCAGGAAUCCCUUGCAGGACCGCCAUCGCAGCAAAAUCCUCCCGAGGGCCUCCCUACACUGACCACUCCCCUACUGCCCUUGCCCCUUUCGGGUAAGGUAGUCCUCCACUAGCUUUCCUAAUUAAUCAGCCAAGGGCGUCCAUAAACCCUUGUGGUGGCACGUGUUUCUCAAGUUAAGCUCUAUGUUCCAAUUAACAUUUAAUGAUCUUGUCAUGAACAUAAAUAAAAUAACAACAUAACUGGAACAUAGAUAUAAUAAAAUAUUAACCCAAAACCAUAUAAAGCAGUAGCAGAACUACCCAAGUGAUUCAGGGGUAAACAAGGUAUUGAGAUAAAAAAAUCUAGGGUAACCUAUUAGGUCCCAUCAAAAUUAACCUAUGCAGAUCAUUAUGAUUAAUUAGAACAUGAGUGGGUAAAAGAAGUGAUCAAGGGCACAACUUGCCUCGGACUUGAGAUUCCAGGUACCAACUUGCUCUUCAGAUGACACGUGUCCUCACUGCUAAACGUAGCAAUACAGACAAACAUGGUAUAGACAAAAUGAACAUCACAUGAAACAUAUAAACAAAAUACACAGUAAUAAUCUACAUAUUAAAAUAGAAUCCUAGGAACAUGAAUCAUAAUUUUUGGAGUUAUAGAUUUUAAGUUAUGAAUUUUCAAAGGUUUCGUGUGUUUUAAAUAGAAUUAAGUGAUAAAUAAAUUUUAUUACUGUUUUCAUGACAAACCAGAGACUCUAAGUGAUAGAGAAUAAAAUUACAAAAUUUUAGGAACUGAAAUGAAGUGAUUUGGAGUUCAUAUGAAUUUUCUAUGAAAUAAACAAGUUCUAGCCUUUUAUUUUUACACUAAAAUUCCAUUUUCUAUUCAUUUAUUCGAUUUAAACGAUCUCUGGACUGGGCCUCAAAAUAUGAGAACAGCAGGGGGCUCGGGGCAAAAAUCCCCAAGGCACAGAGACAAGCCGUGCAGGACGGCGGGUUGGUUUCUCAUAAGCCUAGGGUUUCUUUAGCAAAAUGCCUGGCCGAAGGGUUAUUGACCAAUCUUGGCCGAUGGAUUAGAAACGGGUGGCACAGAUUAGAUCUAGCCAUCAAGUGACUCGGUGCGCGUCCUAGCCACUGGAUCAAGAUCGUGCGGUCGAGAAUAAGCCCAACCGAACCGGUACGUGGAAGCUAAUCAGAGCCGUUCAUCCCCAAUCCAAGGGCGCCAGUUCAUCUUCUUCCACUCGCUACUCCCACCAGGCGGACCACACGCCGAGCGGCACCAUGGACAGAGCCGAGUUCGCCGUACUAGCGGUCCCGCCCCACUGGUCACUCUCUCUUCACUACUCCCGAUCCUUGCCGCGGCCGAGCCAGGAAACCACCCAGAUGCACCGAGGAGGAAUCCAUCCGGGACCUCCAUCGUUUAUUUCGCGAUAGACGGCCACAGGCCCUUCUUCUUCCCAUCUGGCAACGACGCCGGUGACUUCCGCACCCCUCCCACGGCGGCGCCCAGAUCUCUGAAGCGACGAGUGCCCGCGAACACCCGCCCAAGGUUCUAGGGAAACAUCCGAACUCUAACGGGAGCAACAGAGGUGGAAUGCAUUCGUAAACAUGGCAGGAUGGCUUACCAGAGUUCAUGCCGUAAAGAAUUCCGACCACGCACCCAAGCGGUCCACGACGGAGCCAUGAUUCAGGCGAGAAAUCGACGGUGUUCUAGUGGAUCCCGCGCCCAGAGCUUCCACCAAACGCACGGACGGGCCUUCUCUUCUCCCCGAGCGAGGUGCGAGCCUCGGGUUGCAAGGCGCACUCGCCCGAGAUCUCCCUAGCCUGAUUUGUUUAUGGCGAUAACCAGCCGCGUUCACGUACUUAUACCCGAGGUCAGGUGCGGUGUUCGGUCUCAAGCGCCUAACGGCUGACGAGAUACGCGGCAGCAAGUCCGCCCAGUUCGCGCGGCAAGGGAUUUGGCCAAGGCCGCAAUGAACUGUUCCGCGAAAAUUCUUGGCAUCACGGCGCGAGGUAAACGAUGACCCAGACUAUCUAGGCCCACGUGUAGGUGAGUCGGAGCUAGCGCCAGAGUAAAGAGGCCGACGACGCGGGCCUAUAUUACAGAGACACAAUGAGGCGGUAAGGACGUGGCCCACAUGGCGGUGGAAGAGGAGACUGACCACUGGGGCCCCCGCGCAGAGAAAAACUCCAAAGUGCGUGCGGCAGGGAUGCUGGGCCGCGUGGGGGCAAAAUGCCCAAUUGGGCCGACCAGGGACACAUUUGGCCCAGGCGCUGUUUAGGAGUUCUUUUUUUGUUUAUUCCCCUAUUUUAUUUUCUGUUUUAAACUUUAAAUUUGUGAAUGUCCAAAUUCAAAUUUCUGUUUUGAAUUUUUCAGAUCCCAAUCACAACAUAAUCAUAAGGUGAAUAUAAAUCCUAUUAUUAUUAUUUAUCCUUCUUUCUAUUAUUUUAAUUCUAAAAAAAUGACUCUAUCACAAUUUUCUUUCACAUUUUUCUGUUUUAUAUUUAUAAUUCAAGUUAUGAUUCUUUUUUUAAAAAAAAUGCAUCACAACAAAAUCACCAACAUGAGAUACACAUUCCUGUAUUUAUUUAUUUGUUAUUUGACCAAUAUAAUUCCAUCAAUUGAAUAUGCACAAAUUAAAAAAAAUCAAAUAAUCUCCAAAGAAUUUUCUAUAAAUGCAUGUACUUAUUUAUUUUAUUAUUUUUAUCUUAUACAAAUUUUAGGGCUUUACAAAAGUUGUGACAUUCGAUCCUGUGCCAUGAUUCAUCAUAUGUGUGAGACUUGGUCCCAGCACACCUGGUGUUUAUGUUCGCGCCCGGGUUUUGGAUCCCUAAAAUCCGGGUGUGACAGGUACCCUCAAGACUCCUAAUUGUCAGCUGGUAACCCCCAUCAGCAUAAAGCUGCAAAGGCCUGAUGAGUGCGAUUAAGUUAGGGAUGAGUCCAUUCGAGCGACUCGAUCAUGCCUCGCCCGAGCCUAGCCUCGGACAAGGGCAGCCGACCCCGGGAGAUUUCCGUUUCGCCCGAGGCCCCCCUCCAACGGCAGACACAUCUCCGGCUCGCCCGAGGCCCUGCCUUCGCUAAGAAGCAACCCUGACUAAAUCGCCGCACCGACCGACCGAAUCGCAGGAGCAUUUAAGGCAAAGGUGGCCUGACACCUUUAUCCUGACGCACGCCACCCGGCAGAGCCGAAGUGACCGCCGUCACUUCGCCGCUCCACUGACCGGCCUGACAAAAGGACAGCGCCGCCUGCGCCACUCCGACUGCAGUGCCACUUGACAGAGUGAGACUGACAGGCAGUCAGGCCCUGCCAGAGGCACCAUAGGAAGCUCCGCUCCGCCCGACCCAGGGCUCGGACUCGAGCUAAGUCCCGGAAGACGGCGAACUCCGCUCCGCCCGACCCAGGGCUCGGACUCGGGCUAGGUCCCGGAAGACGGCGAACUCCGCUCCGCCCGACCCAGGGCUCGGACUCGGGCUAGGUCCCGGAAGACGGUGAACUCCGCUCCGCCCGACCCAGGGCUCGGACUCGGGCUAGGUCCCGGAAGACGGCGAACUCCGCUCCGCCCGACCCAGGGCUCGGACUCGGGCUAAGUCCCGGAAGACGACGAACUCCGCUCCGCCCGACCCAGGGCUCGGACUCGGGCUUAGCCCCGGAAGACGACGAACUCCGCUUCGCCCGACCCCAAGGCUCGGACUUCGCCCUGGCCUCUGCCGAACGACCUCCGCCUCGCCCGACCCAGGGGCUCGGGCUCGGCCUCGGCCAUGGAAGACAGACUCGACCUCGGCUUCGGAGGAGCCUCCACGUCGCCCAACCUAGGGCGCAGGCCAGCCACGUCAACAGGAAGCACCAUCAUCACCCUACCCCGAGCUGACUCGGGCCGUAGAGAACAAGACCGGAGUCCCAUCUGGCUAGCUCCGCCAGAUAGGCAAUGAUGGCGCCCCGCAUGCUCUGUGACGACGGCGGCUCUCAGCUCUCUUACGGAAGCAGGAGGACGUCAGCAAGGACUCAACCGCUCUGACAGCUAUCCCUCCGCCAGGCUCCGUCGCUCCUCCGACGGCCACGACAUCACACCAGCUGGGUGCCAAAAUCUCUCCGGCUGCCACAUCGGCAUGUACUUAGGGCGCUAACUCUCCCCCGCUAGACACGUAGCACUCUGCUACACCCCCAUUGUACAUCUGGAUCCUCUCCUUACGCCUAUAAAAGGACCAGGGCCCUCUUAGAGGAGGUUGGCCGCGCGGGGUCGAGGACGGGACAGGCGCUCUCUUGGGGCCGCUCGCUUCCCUCUCCCGCGUGGACGCUUGUAACCCCCUACUGCAAGCGCACCCGACCUGGGCGCGGGACGAACACGAAGGCCGCGGGAUUCCCACCUCUCUCACGCCGGUCACCGGCCGCCUCGCUCCUUCCCCCCUUCGCGCUCGCCCACGUGCUCGACCCAUCUGGGCUGGGGCACGCGGCGACACUCACUCGUCGGCCCGAGGGACCCCCCAGUCUCGAAACGCCGACAGUUGGCGCGCCAGGUAGGGGCCUGCUGCGUGUUGACGAACAGCUUCCCGUCAAGCUCCAGAUGGGCAGUCUCCAGCAACCUCUCCGACCCGGGAUGGUGCUCCGUUUCGGGAGUCUUGAGUUCAUGUCCUUCGACGGCAGCUACGACAUGAUACUCCUUCCACCGCCGCGCGACAACGACAAUGGCGGUCGACAGCCCGCCCGCCGGCGGCGGAAUCGACGACGUCUUCCCCGCGUGGUGGAAGAACAACAUUCGAGUUCGCCCCGUCCUCUCCCCCGCCAACGGAGGAGGAGGCGGGGCAACCAAGGCCAAGCGGGAGGCCGCGCCUCGUCGGCUGUCGAGCGAGUCGACGUCCCCAGCGCCCCAACGGGGGGCGCGUCGGGCGUCGACCUCGCGUUUGAGACGAAGGCGAGCGCUGUCUCCCCGCGACACGCCAAUCCCGAGCAAGUGGACGACGCCAGUGCGCUCGCGGAGAGCUUGCAGGAAGUCGCCCUCGUACCUGAGACGACGGUGCAAUCAGUCCCCGACAUGACUAUGUCGCUGCUCGUCGACCGAAAGGUACCGACCGAUUCCCAUCCUACGUCAUUUGGACUCAACCACAACCCGCCUAGCGACCUUGCUUUGGCGGGCGCCCUCGUAAAGGCGAGAUCAAACCCUCUGGGGUUUCGCAUGCGGUCGCCUUGGGACCGGCUGACGGACGUCUCGACCUACGGGCCCUCUGGGUCCGAGGAAGAUGACGACCCCAACAUCUGUUGGGAUUUCUCUGGAUUUGGCAACCCCAGUGCCAUGCGGGACUUCAUGACCGCAUGUGACUACUGCCUCUCUGACUGUUCCGACGGUAGCCGCAGCCUCGACGACGAGGACUGCGGCCCAAGCCGCGAAUGUUUCCACGUCGAUCUAGGGGAUCCCUCCGAAGGCAAUCAUCUCGGCAUGCCGGAGGGCGGUGAUCUCCCUAGGUCGGUGCCUCGCGCUGACAUCCCACGGAAGCUAGCUGUGGUCCCCGUUCCGGCGGGGGGUCACGACCCACAGCUCGAGCAAGUCCGAGGGGCGCAGGCCAGGCUCGACGAGGGAGCAGGAGCGCUUGAGCCGAUCCGCCGGGACGUCGGGCAGGCAUGGGCAGGCCAACCCCCGGCCGGAGAAAUACGUCACCUGCCCCAGGGUCUCCAGCACCGCGUCGCCGACGGCGUCAGGGUCAGGCCGCCACCCGCAUCCAGUGGGGUCGGUCAGAACCUGGCUGCAGCAGCGAUGCUUCUCCGCGCGAUGCCGGAGCCAUCAACCACCGAGGGUCGGCGAAUCCAGGGAGAGCUCAAGAAUCUCCUGGAAGGCGCUGUGGUCCGACGGGCCGAGAGCUCUGCCUCCCGAAGGCAGGGAUACCCCUCGGAACCUCAUGCCGCGACUUCCCGAUUCAUGCGGGAAGCCUCGGUCUACACCGGGCGCACGCGCAACACCGCGCCUGCGGCCCCGGGCCACCUCGGCAACGAGCACCAUCAUCGCGACCGUCAGGCCCACCUCGACGAGAGGGUGUGCCGAGGUUACCACCCCAGGCGUGGGGGACGCUACGACAGCGGGGAGGAUCGGAGUCCCUCGCCCGAACCACCCGGUCCGCAGGCCUUCAGCCGGGCCAUCCGACGGGCACCGUUCCCGACCCGGUUCCGACCCCCGACUACUAUCACAAAGUACUCGGGGGAAACGAGACCGGAACUGUAGCUCGCGGACUACCGCCUGGCCUGCCAACUGGGUGGAACGGACGACGACAACCUCAUCAUCCGCAACCUCCCCCUGUUCCUCUCCGACACCGCUCGCGCCUGGUUGGAGCACCUGCCUCCGGGGCAGAUCUCCAACUGGGAUGACCUGGUCCAAGCCUUCGCCGGCAAUUUCUAGGGCACGUACGUGCGCCCCGGGAAUUCCUGGGACCUCCGAAGCUGCCGGCAGCAGCCGGGAGAGUCUCUCCGGGACUACAUCCGACGAUUCUCGAAGCAGCGCACCGAGCUGCCCAACAUCACCGACUCGGAUGUCAUCGGCGCGUUCCUUGUCGGCACCACCUGCCGCGACCUGGUGAGUAAGUUGGGUCGCAAGACCCCCACCAGGGCGAGCGAGCUGAUGGACAUCGCCACCAAGUUCUCCUCUGGCCAGGAGGCGGUCGAAGCUAUCUUCCGAAAGGACAAGCAGCCCCAGGGCCGCCCAUCGGAAGAUGCUCCCGAGGCGUCUACUCCGCGCGGCGCCAAGAAGAAAGGCAAGAAGAAGUCGCAAGCGAAACGCGACGCCGCCGACGCGGACCUUGUCGCCGCCGCCGAGUACAAGAACCCUCGGAAGCCCCCCGGAGGUGCUAACCUCUUCGACAAGAUGCUCAAGGAGCCGUGCCCCUAUCAUCAGGGGCCCGUCAAGCACACCCUUGAGGAGUGCGUCAUGCUUCGGUGCCACUUCCACAGGGCCGGGACACCCGCGGAGGGUGGCAGGGCCCGCGACGACGACAAGAAGGAAGAUCACCAAGCAGGAGAGUUCCCCGAGGUCCGCGACUGCUUCAUGAUCUACGGUGGGCAUGCGGCGAAUGCCUCGGCUCGGCAUCGCAAGCAAGAGCGGCGGGAGGUCUGCUCGGUGAAGGUGGCGGCGCCAGUCUACCUAGACUGGUCCGACAAGCCCAUCACCUUCGACCAAGCUGACCACCCCGACCACGUGCCGAGCCCGGGGAAAUACCCGCUCGUCGUCGACCCCGUCGUCGGCGACGUCAGGCUCACCAAGGUCCUUAUGGACGGGGGCAGCUGCCUCAACAUCAUCUACGCCGAGACCCUCAGGCUCCUGCGCAUCGAUCUGUCCUCCGUCCGAGCAGGCGCUGCGCCCUUCCACGGGAUCAUUCCCGGGAAGCGCGUCCAGCCCCUCGGACGACUCGAUCUUCCCGUCUGCUUCGGAACGCCCUCCAACUUCCGAAGGGAGACUCUGACGUUCGAGGUGGUCGGGUUCCGAGGAACCUACCACGCGGUACUGGGGAGGCCAUGCUACGCGAAGUUUAUGGCCGUCCCCAGCUACACCUACUUGAAGCUCAAGAUGCUGGGCCCCAACGGGGUCAUCACCGUCGGCCCCACGUACAAACACGCGUUCGAAUGCGACGUGGAGUGUGUGGAGUACGCCGAGGCCCUCGCCGAGUCCGAGGCCCUCAUCGCCGACCUGGAAAGCCUCUCCAAAGAGGUUGCAGACGUGAAGCGCCAUGCCGGCAACUUCGAGCCAGUGGAGACGGUCAAGGUCGUCCCCCUCGACCCCAGUGGCGACGCCUCCAAGCAGAUCCGGAUCGGUUCCGGGCUCGACCCCAAAUAGGAAGCAGUGCUCGUCGACUUUCUCCGCGCGAACGCCGACGUCUUCGCGUGGAGUCCCUCGGACAUGCCCGGCAUACCAAGGGAUGUCGCCGAGCACUCGCUGGAUAUCCGGGCCGGAGCCCGACCCGUCAAGCAGCCUCUGCGCCGAUUCGACGAGGAGAAGCGCAGAGUGAUAGGCGAGGAGAUCCACAAGCUAACGGCAGCCGGGUUCAUCAAAGAGGUAUUCCAUCCCGAAUGGCUUGCCAACCCUGUGCUUGUGAGAAAGAAAGGGGGAAAUGGUGGAUGUGUGUAGACUACACUGGUCUCAACAAAGCAUGUCCGAAGGUUCCCUACCCUCUGUCUCGCAUCGAUCAAAUCGUGGAUUCCACUGCUGGGUGCGAAACCCUGUCUUUCCUCGACGCCUACUCAGGGUAUCACCAAAUCAGGAUGAAAGAGUCCGACCAGCUCGCGACUUCUUUCAUCACACCCUUCGGCAUGUACUGCUAUGUCACCAUGCAGUUCGGUUUGAGGAAUGCGGGCGCGACGUAUCAGCGGUGCAUGAACCAUGUGUUCGGCGAACACAUCGGUCGCACGGUCGAGGCCUACGUCGAUGACAUCGUAGUCAAGACAAGGAAAGCUUCCGACCUCCUCUCCGACCUUGAAGUGACAUUCCGAUGUCUCAAAGCGAAAGGCGUCAAGCUCAAUCCCGAGAAGUGUGUCUUCGGGGUGCCCCGGGGCAUGCUCUUGGGGUUCAUCGUCUCCGAGCGGGGCAUCGAAGCCAACCCGGAGAAGAUCGCAGCCAUCACCAGCAUGGGGCCCAUCAAGGACUUAAAAGGCGUACAGAGGGUCAUGGGAUGUCUCGCGGCCCUGAGCCGCUUCAUCUCACGCCUCGGCGAAAGAGGCCUGCCUCUGUACCGCCUCUUAAGGAAGGCCGAGUGCUUCGCUUGGACCCCUGAGGCCGAGGAAGCUCUCGGGAACCUGAAGGCGCUCCUCACAAAGGCGCCUAUCUUGGUGCCUCCAGCUGACGGAGAAGCCCUCUUGGUCUACGUCGCCGCGACCACUCAGGUGGUUAGCGCCGCGAUUGUGGUCGAGAGGCAAGAAGAGGGGCAUGCAUUGCCCGUUCAGAGGCCAGUUUACUUCGUCAGCGAGGUACUGUCCGAGACCAAGAUCCGCUACCCACAAGUUCAGAAGCUGUUGUAUGCAGUGAUCCUGACGAGGCGGAAGUUGUGACACUACUUCGAGUCUCAUCCGGUAACUGUGGUGUCAUCCUUCCCCCUGAGGGAGAUCAUCCAGUGCCGAGAGGCCUCGGGCAGGAUUGCAAAUUGGGCGGUGGAAAUCAUGGGCGAGACAAUCUCGUUCGCCCCUCGAAAGGCCAUCAAGUCCCAGGUAUUGGCGGACUUCGUAGCCGAAUGGGUCGACACCCAGCUACCGACGGCUCCGAUCCAACCGGAGCUCUGGACCAUGUUUUUCGACGGGUCGCUAAUGAAGACGGGAGCCGGCGCGGGCCUACUCUUCAUCUCGCCCCUCGGGAAACACCUACGCUAUGUGCUACGCCUCCAUUUCCCGGCGUCCAACAAUGUGGCUGAGUACGAGGCUCUGGUCAACGGGUUGCGGAACGCCAUCGAGCUAGGGGUCAGGCGCCUCGACGCCCGCGGUGACUCGCAGCUCGUCAUCGACCAAGUCAUGAAGAACUCCCACUGCCGCGACCCGAAGAUGGAGGCCUAUUGCGAUGAGGUUCGGCGCCUGGAAGACAAGUUCUACGGGCUCGAGCUUAACCACAUCGCUCGGCGCUACAACGAGACUGCGGACGAGCUGGCAAAAAUAGCCUCGGGGCGAACAACGGUUCCCCCGGACGUCUUCUCCCGGGAUCUGCAUCAACCCUCCGUCAAGAUCGACGACACGCCCGAGCCUGAGGCGCCCUCGGUCCAGCCCGAGGUACCCUCGGCACAGCCCGAGGCACCCUCAGCUCGGCCCGAGGCGCCCUCGGUUCAGCCCGAGGUACCCUCGGCCUCCGAGGGCGAAGCACUGCGCAUCGAGGAGGAGCGGAGCGGGGCCACGCCUGAUCAGAAUUGGCAGACCCCGUACCUACAAUAUCUCCGCCAAGGAGAGCUACCCCUCGACCGAGGCGAGGCUCGGCGGGUAGCGCGACGCGCCAAGUCGUUCGUCUUGCUGGGCGAUGAGAAGGAGCUCUAUCACCGCAGCCCCUCGGGCAUCCUCCAGCGAUGCAUCUCCAUCGCCGAAGGUCAGGAACUCCUGCAAGAGAUACACUCGGGCGCUUGCGACCAUCACGCAGCGCCUCGGGCCCUUGUCGGGAAUGCUUUCCGGCAAGGCUUCUACUGGCCAACGGCGGUGGCUGACGCCACUAGAAUUGUCCGCACCUGCGAAGGGUGUCAAUUCUAUGUGAAGCAGACCCACCUGCCCGCUCAGGCUCUGCAGACGAUACCCAUCACCUGGCCCUUUGCUGUGUGGGGUCUGGACCUCGUCGGCCCCUUGCAGAAGGCGCCCGGGGGCUACACGCACCUGCUGGUCGCCAUCAACAAAUUCUCCAAGUGGGUCGAGGUCCGACCUCUGAACAGCAUCAGGUCCGAGCAGGCGGUGACGUUCUUCACCAACAUCAUCCAUCGCUUCGGGGUCCCGAACUCCAUCAUCACCGACAACGGUACCCAGUUCACCGGCAGAAAAUUCUUGGACUUCUGCGAGGAUCACCACAUCCGGGUGGACUGGGCCGCCGUGGCUCAUCCCAUGACGAAUGGGCAAGUAGAGCGUGCCAACGGCAUGAUUCUACAAGGGCUCAAGCCUCGGAUUUACAACGACCUCAACAAGUUCGGCAAGCGAUGGAUGAAGGAACUCCCCUCGGUGGUCUGGAGCCUGAGGACAACGCCGAGCCGAGCCACGGGUUUCACGCCGUUCUUCCUGGUCUACGGGGCCGAGGCCGUCUUGCCCACUGACCUGGAAUACGGCUCCCCGAGGACGAGGGCCUACAGCGAUCAAAGCAACCAAGCUAGCCGAGAAGACUCGCUGGACCAGCUGGAAGAGGCUCGGGACAAGGCCUUACUACACUCGGCGCGGUACCAGCAGUCCCUGCGACGCUACCACGCCCGAGGGGUCCGGCCCCGAGACCUCCAGGUGGGCGACCUGGUGCUUCGGCUGCGGCAAGACGCCCGAGGGAGGCACAAGCUCACGCCCCCCUGGGAGGGGCCAUUCGUCAUCGCCAAAGUUCUGAAGCCCAGAACGUACAAGCUGGCCAACAGUCAAGGCGAGGUCUACGGCAACGCUUGGAACAUCCAACAUCUACGUCGCUUCUACCCUUAAGAUGUUUUCAAGUUGUUCAUAUACCUCGCACCCACGCAAAGUUUAGUCAUCAAGGAAGGGUCGGCCUCGCCUCGGCAAAGCCCGACCCUCCCUCGGGGGCUAAAAGGGGGGAACCCCCUCUGCGUUGAAAUUUUCCUCGAAAAAAGAUCUCUUCUGCCAGAAUAUCUUUCGUGCUUUCUGACUACUUCGAAAAGUGGAUCCUGAAAACGACGGAGUACACGUAAGCAGCCAAGGCUGACCGAGCCGAGGGACUCCUACGCCUCCAGGAUACGGAUACCUCACUCAUCACCUUCUGCGAUAAGUAACUCGCGUUCGGAUAAAGUGAUUCCGCGGACCGAACAAGUCUUCACGUUCGGAAGCUCUUCUGCCGAAGCGAUCCUUCGAGCCUUCUCGACUGAGUCGGUGACAGGGCCUCAUGGACGGGUAAAAGUGCGCGUAAGCGGCAAGGCCGACCGAGCCGAGGGACUCCCACGCCUCCGGGAUACGGAUACCUCACUCAUCACCUUCCGCGAGAAGCAACUCUCGCUCGCACAAACAUCCCUGUUACCGAUAAAAAAGUCCAGAUACUCGAAACAAGAGGAAAGGAGACGCAGCUUUACAACACAGCGAGGGUGUGUAUUCUGGCCUCGGCGGCCGCAGAAGGCACACGCUACAAGACACUCUGAUCCUGCAGGCUCGGGUCUUGACGCUGGAAGGGGGCAGUAGCACCCUCGGCAUCGACGACGCCUUCAGCGAGGUCCGACCUAGCCUCGGACGGCGACGCGGUCCAGGGAUCCCCACUCUGGAGGACGACGUCAUCGCCACGCCCGGACAAUCGCUGCCAGGGACUUCUCCGGGAAUCCGGCCCGAGCAGGCGGCUCGGCUGGUUACCCCUGGGGCCUCGGCCAACCAUCUCCCAAGGGCGCCAGCCCGACCCGAGGCCUCGGCUGAUCAACUCCGGCGUCGGUCCCGCUAACGGACAACCUGGCUAGGCUCCGGCCAACCAGGUUUCAUUUUCGAGCCAACUCCGCCUCUGUUCAUGCUGAUAUCGCUACCCCUGGCCUCGGCUCGUCGAAGAGCGGCCAAGGGGUCCCUUUAACUAAGCUAGAGGAGCCUCAGACAACAAGGCCGACCGAGCCGAGGGACUCCUACGCCUCCGGGAUACGGAUACCUCACUCGUCACCUUGACACGGGGCGACUCAUGCUUGGUAAAGCGGUUCAGAUAAUCAACAGGUGAGUCUUAGUGCUCGAAAAUGAGGAAAAAACACGGCUCCGUGCCAAAAUUACAUACACGUUCAGGCCUCGACAGCCAUAAUGAACAAAAACAGUGGCAUUCAAAAUGCCAUUACAAACGGAACUCUGGUUCCGUCCCCCGCGGGUAUGAGCAACCUCGAGCCUGCGGGGCGACGAACGUCGGGGGACCUGCCAGCGACCUCUGCAGCAGCAGCCAUGGUCCCGGGUGGACGCGGCCACCGGAGGGCUCUCGUUCGCGGUCCCGCUCAAGGGACGCGAACCAGCUAUUAAAGCCAAAGAGCAGGCCGCUCCCAAGCGCACCGGCAGGUCCUCGCUGCCGUCCUCGCCGCGAAUGCGAGGGAGAGGGCGGAAUGUUGCAUCCUAGCUGGGUAGCAACAGUUCGCCUUCCCCGGCAUGGCUGGAGGACGUCUCCGCCGCAGGGCUGGAGGGCGAUUGCCACCACCAGAAGCUGGAAGAAGAGGUGGCCCGCCGACCCGCACAGGAGGUAGAGCCCGGGCUCGCCUCGCUCCCCGCCCCAGCGAGGAUGACGAACACCCUCGAUGCUGAGGGCGGGAUCGGGAUCACAGCCCGGCUUGCCUCUCCCCAUCCAGGAGCUGGAGGUCACCGUCUUGGGUGACCACCAGCGGAGGGGAGCAACCGGGCUGUGUGAUGAAAAUCCUUGAAGCCGAACGAUGGCUGAAAGGUACCAACUCCCACGGAGUUGCGUUCCUCCAACGAUGAGGCGAAAAGAUGGCGGGUAUCCCCCAUCCGGGGGCUUGGAAGGUGGAAAGACGCGAUGCAUAAGGGAGCGAGAAGACAUGGUCGCCUUCCGAAAGGGGUCGCCCUCCUUUUAAAGGCAACUCUCCCUACUUGCGCCCCCAAUCGUCACGGGCUGAGUCUUCUCCAACACGCUCCAAGGCCCUCCCCUGCGGCGCGGGGGCUGGGUCCCGCAUGUCAUGCAAACCGGCUCGGAGCAGAAGAAGCCAAACCGCCGCGCGUGGUGCACACAACCGCCCAGCGGUUACAAGUGACCUUCCACUUUUGCCCAGACCAACGGGCGAAAGAGGCGGGCAGCCAUGCAGGCGGCAUGCAACCGCGCCAAGUGGACGCGCUUCUCCGACUCCCGACACGCCCAGCAUGGAGGCCCAGGCCCACGCGUCACGUAACCGGCGCGCCGGAUGCUGCGUGCAAGCGACUACACCGCCACUUGUGCCACCACCGCGCCUCUUCGGUUGCGGAACCAAUACCGUGACUCGAGGCGACCCAGCACACGACCCAGCAGCGCCAGCCUAGCGCGGCGGUCAAUGCGGUCAAAAAUGGGCCGGCAGUAAUGACGGUGGCAGGCGGGCGGGAGCAGCGGUCGCGUCGUCAGCCUAGCUCACGUCCCAUCCGGGGGCAGCAAGAGAACCCCCUCUCACGGCGUGAAGACAACACGCCCGUGAUCCGUUCCUCGAACGGCUCGCGCACGCGCGACGGCCGCCCCGCCAACCACUCGCCCCGUCGCAUUAACUCCGCGGCGGGACAGGCGACACCUAUGGCAGGAGAAGCGGGCGACGCUUCGCCUUCGCCGUAAUAACCACGCCAAAAAAGGUACGCCGCGUCGUUCGAUUUCGUAUCCUUUUCCUUUUUUCCUCUUUCUCUCUCUUGCAACAGGGACCGGGAAAGGGGGAUACCCCGAAAAGGAUCCUUCCCCGUGAAGGAACCGGGCUCCAAGCCUCCCUACUGAUCAGAGGUUCGAAGGCUGGCCCCUGAGGGGUUCAACAGCCGCCUCAGAUCGCGUGGGCCCUACACCCACUACUGGUCAGAGGUUCGAAGGCCGGCCCCCCGAAGGGUUCCACGGCCGCCUCAGGCUACUCGGGCUCCGCGCCCAUUACUGAUCAGGGGUUCGAAGGCUGGCCCCCGAAGGGUUCACAGCCGCCUCAGACGCCGAGCGAGGGAUGACCAGGGGUACGUUCGAUACAUAACCAAGGCUCGGGCUGCGCUCCCGAGGUACCCUAGGACAUUUUCGAGACCAGCAGGAGCGAUCUUGUAACGGAAUCCCAUCGGAGGGAGGCAUCGAGCCCUCGGACCCCGUCGCCAGGGGACCGGGUCCGGCAGAUCACCCGCAGGUACUUUUGGGCGUGCCUCUGGGCCCCUAGCCGACCCCUAACGAAUGGGGCACGGACGUCCACUCGGAUUACCCGAUUGCAGCUCACCGGAGACACCAUGUUCGGCGCCCAUCGAGGGUAACAUGGCGCUUUCCCCCCUCCUCCUUGCGGAAAGGCGACGCAGGGGCGUAUGUAAAAAAGCCGAGUCUGUCCCUGAUCGCCCUCUCGUCCUUUGCGGAGGCUCGGGGGCUGCUCUCGCAAACCCGGCCUCGGCCGAACCGUUGACAGCGUCAACGUACCAGCCCGAGAACUUGGGCCCCGACCGUACACCCGGGCUACGGCCAGUUCGCAUGAGGGAACAACCAGACCGGCUGAAGCAUUACGCAAGGCAUUAAGACCUCGGAGGAGUGAAACCACUCCUCCGAGGCCUCGGGGGCUACACCCGGCGGGUGCGCUCGCGCGCACCCACCGGAACAAAAGGCAACCGAGAAAGGCUGGUCCCCUUGCAAAAAAGUGCGACGAAAGCCUCCAAGCGAGUGCUAACACUCCCUUCGAGGCUCGGGGGCUACUGUCGGGGACCAUAAUUAGGGGUACCCUCAAGACUCCUAAUUCUCAGCUGGUAACCCCCAUCAGCAUAAAGCUGCAAAGGCCUGAUGGGUGCGAUUAAGUCAGGGAUCAGUUCAUUCGAGCGACUCGAUCAUGCCUCGCCCGAGCCUAGCCUCGGACAAGGGCAGCCGACCCCGGGGGAUUUCCGUCUCGCCCGAGGCCCCCCUCCAACGGCGGACACAUCUCCGGCUCGCCCGAGGCCCUGCCUUCGCUAAGAAGCAACCCUGACUAAAUCGCCGCACCGACCGACCGAAUCGCAGGAGCAUUUAACACAAAGGUGGUCUGACACCUUUAUCCUGACGCACGCCCCCCGGCAGAGCCGAAGUGACCGCCGUCACUUCGUCGCUCCACUGACCGGCCUGACAAAAGGACAGCGCCGCCUGCGCCACUCCGACUGCAGUGCCACUUGACAGAGUGAGACUGACAGGUAGUCAGGCCCUGCCAGAGGCACCAUAGGAAGCUCCGCUCCGCCCGACCCAGAGCUCGGACUCGGGCUAAGUCCCGGAAGACGGCGAACUCCGCUCCGCCCGACCCAGGGCUCGGACUCGGGCUAGGUCCCGGAAGACGGCAAACUCCGCUCCGCCCGACCCAGGGCUCGAACUCGGGCUAGGUCCCGGAAGACGGCGAACUCCGCUCCGCCCGACCCAGGGCUCGGACUCGGGCUAGGUCCCGGAAGACGGCGAACUCCGCUCCGCCCGACCCAGGGCUCGGACUCGGGCUAAGUCCCGGAAGACGACGAACUCCGCUCCGCCCGACCCAGGGCUCGGACUCGGGCUCAGCCCCGGAAGACGACGAACUCCGCUUCGCCCGACCCCAGGGCUCGGACUCCGCCCUGGCCUCUGCCGAACGACCUCCGCCUCGCCCGACCCAGGGGCUCGGGCUCGGCCUCGGCCAUGGAAGACAGACUCGACCUCGGCUUCGGAGGAGCCUCCACGUCGCCCAACCUAGGGCGCAGGCCAGCCACGUCAAUAGGAAGCGCCAUCAUCACCCUACCCCGAGCUGACUCGGGCCGCAGAGAACAAGACCGGAGUCUCAUCUGGCUAGCUCCGCCAGAUAGGCAAUGAUGGCGCCCCGCAUGCUCUGUGACGACGGCGGCUCUCAGCUCUCUUACGGAAGCAGGAGGACGUCAGCAAGGACUCAACCGCUCCGACAGCUGUCCCUCCGCCAGGCUCCGUCGCUCCUCCGACGGCCACGACAUCACACCAGCUGGGUGCCAAAAUCUCUCCGGCUGCCACAUCGGCAUGUACUUAGGGCGCUAGCUCUCCCCCGCUAGACACGUAGCACUCUGCUACACCCCCAUUGUACACAUGGAUCCUCUCCUUACGCCUAUAAAAGGAAGGACCAGGACCCUCUUAGAGGAGGUUGGCCGCGCGGGGACGAGGACGGGACAGGCGCUCUCUUGGGGCCGCUCGCUUCCCUCUCCCGCGUGGACGCUUGUAACCCCCUACUGCAAGCGCACCCGACCUGGGCGCGGGACGAACACGAAGGCCGCGGGAUUCCCACCUCUCUAACGUCGGUCACCGGCCGCCUCGCUUCUUCCCCCCUUCGCGCUCGCCCACGCGCUCGACCCAUCUGGGCUGGGGCACGCGGCGACACUCACUCGUCAGCCCGAGGGACCCCCGGUCUCGAAACGCCGACAGACCCUAUCCAUCCUCAAUCCUGCCCGUCCACUCCUUAUCCAAUGGCUCAGAUCCCUUCACCAAAGGAGUAUAUUUGCUUUUAAUCACAAACGCCCAUCGCGAGAUGGACGGUAGCCGUACCCUCUUCAACCUCACGCGCAGCAACGGCCAGAAAUCGCCCCAACCAGCGGAGCCCUCACCAGCGCGCCACCAAAUUUGCCAGCUCCGGUGACAACGUUCCCAUGGUGAUGCGCGAAAACAAAAUCGAAGCAAGGCGGUUACGAAGGGGUGUCUCACCGGAUGGUUAAGCGUUGGCCGAGCGGGUUCGCGACGGAAGACUUGCUUGCCGCAGCUUCCCACCAUGGACCCGACGGAACAUGGCACCUGGCGUAGGGCGUCGGUCGUCUUCGUCGCCAGGAGAGAAAGAGGGAUGAACGCCUAAACGGGAGAAGAAUUCCAAGAAACAGGAACGACAAUUCCUGCUCCCACGGUCUCUCUCCCCAGGCGACGGUGCUCCCCUCCCUGUUUUUUUUCCUGGGAACAAGAACGUGAUUAUGUUUCUCGGCCAGCACCGUAGAGGUGGGAGGGGGAAAGACCUGGUCUUUAUAUCCGCAGAUGGAUUCCUAGCCGCAACAGUCCGACCGAGUGGUUGCCGGCAAUCACGG
This 18222-nucleotide long non-coding RNA is filed under the name Zea mays. RNAcentral describes it as "long non-coding RNA (ZMAY_LNC000843)". The record is from RNAcentral. Lineage: Eukaryota; Viridiplantae; Streptophyta; Magnoliopsida; Poales; Poaceae.